RNAcentral lists this ribosomal RNA (253 nucleotides) under uncultured bacterium. Its description in RNAcentral is "partial 16S ribosomal RNA". It matches the Rfam family "Bacterial small subunit ribosomal RNA", at positions 524 to 776 of the family's 1533-position model. The record is from RNAcentral.
AACGUAGGGCCCGAGCGUUGUCCGGAAUCACUGGGUGUAAAGGGUGCGUAGGCGGGCGUGCGCGUCUGGGGUGAAAGGCUCCGGCUCAACCGGAGACAUGCCCUGGGUACGGCACGUCUUGGGGGCGGGAGAGGGCGAUGGAAUUCCUGGUGUAGCGGUGAAAUGCGUAGAUAUCAGGAGGAACACCGGUGGCGAAGGCGGUCGCCUGGCCCGCAACCGACGCUGAGGCACGAAAGCGUGGGGAGCAAACAGG